Molecule: non-coding RNA, 21 nt
Organism: Caenorhabditis elegans
Lineage: Eukaryota; Metazoa; Nematoda; Chromadorea; Rhabditida; Rhabditidae
Source: Ensembl
UAGCACUUUCGGAAAACAAAA